RNAcentral lists this ribosomal RNA (1399 nucleotides) under Staphylococcus saprophyticus. Its description in RNAcentral is "16S ribosomal RNA". It matches the Rfam family "Bacterial small subunit ribosomal RNA". Lineage: Bacteria; Bacillati; Bacillota; Bacilli; Caryophanales; Staphylococcaceae. The record is from RNAcentral.
AGUCGAGCGACAGAUAAGGAGCUUGCUCCUUUGACGUUAGCGGCGGACGGGUGAGUAACACGUGGGUAACCUACCUAUAAGACUGGGAUAACUUCGGGAAACCGGAGCUAAUACCGGAUAACAUUUGGAACCGCAUGGUUCUAAAGUGAAAGAUGGUUUUGCUAUCACUUAUAGAUGGACCCGCGCCGUAUUAGCUAGUUGGUAAGGUAACGGCUUACCAAGGCGACGAUACGUAGCCGACCUGAGAGGGUGAUCGGCCACACUGGAACUGAGACACGGUCCAGACUCCUACGGGAGGCAGCAGUAGGGAAUCUUCCGCAAUGGGCGAAAGCCUGACGGAGCAACGCCGCGUGAGUGAUGAAGGGUUUCGGCUCGUAAAACUCUGUUAUUAGGGAAGAACAAACGUGUAAGUAACUGUGCACGUCUUGACGGUACCUAAUCAGAAAGCCACGGCUAACUACGUGCCAGCAGCCGCGGUAAUACGUAGGUGGCAAGCGUUAUCCGGAAUUAUUGGGCGUAAAGCGCGCGUAGGCGGUUUCUUAAGUCUGAUGUGAAAGCCCACGGCUCACCCGUGGAGGGUCAUUGGAAACUGGGAAACUUGAGUGCAGAAGAGGAAAGUGGAAUUUCCAUGUGUAGCGGUGAAAUGCGCAGAGAUAUGGAGGAACACCAGUGGCGAAGGCGACUUUCUGGUCUGUAACUGACGCUGAUGUGCGAAAGCGUGGGGAUCAAACAGGAUUAGAUACCCUGGUAGUCCACGCCGUAAACGAUGAGUGCUAAGUGUUAUGGGGUUUCCGCCCCUUAGUGCUGCAGCUAACGCAUUAAGCACUCCGCCUGGGGAGUACGACCGCAAGGUUGAAACUCAAAGGAAUUGACGGGGACCCGCACAAGCGGUGGAGCAUGUGGUUUAAUUCGAAGCAACGCGAAGAACCUUACCAAAUCUUGACAUCCUUUGAAAACUCUAGAGAUAGAGCCUUCCCCUUCGGGGGACAAAGUGACAGGUGGUGCAUGGUUGUCGUCAGCUCGUGUCGUGAGAUGUUGGGUUAAGUCCCGCAACGAGCGCAACCCUUAAGCUUAGUUGCCAUCAUUAAGUUGGGCACUCUAGGUUGACUGCCGGUGACAAACCGGAGGAAGGUGGGGAUGACGUCAAAUCAUCAUGCCCCUUAUGAUUUGGGCUACACACGUGCUACAAUGGACAAUACAAAGGGCAGCUAAACCGCGAGGUCAUGCAAAUCCCAUAAAGUUGUUCUCAGUUCGGAUUGUAGUCUGCAACUCGACUACAUGAAGCUGGAAUCGCUAGUAAUCGUAGAUCAGCAUGCUACGGUGAAUACGUUCCCGGGUCUUGUACACACCGCCCGUCACACCACGAGAGUUUGUAACACCCGAAGCCGGUGGAGUAACC